Molecule: unclassified non-coding RNA, 299 nt
Filed under: plant metagenome
Description: partial contains 5.8S ribosomal RNA, internal transcribed spacer 2, and large subunit ribosomal RNA
Rfam family: 5.8S ribosomal RNA (bases 1-105)
Source: RNAcentral
GAAAUGCGAUAAGUAAUGUGAAUUGCAGAAUUCAGUGAAUCAUCGAAUCUUUGAACGCACAUUGCGCCCCCUGGCAUUCCGGGGGGCAUGCCUGUUCGAGCGUCAUUACACCACUCAAGCCUGGCUUGGUAUUGAGCGCCGCGGCCUGUCCGCGCGCUCCAAUGUCUCCGGCUGAGCCGUCCGUCUCUAAGCGUUGUGAAUAGCGAUCGCUUGCGAGGCCCGGGCGGUUCGACGCCGUUAAACCCCCCAUUUUCUAUGGUUGACCUCGGAUCAGGUAGGGAUACCCGCUGAACUUAAGC